AUAGAAUCUGAAACCUGGUGCUUACAAGCUGUGAGAGCGGACUUGUUCCGUGAUCACGUGCCUUUUGCAUAAUGAGUCAGCGAGUUAAUCUGUACUGCGAGGUUAAGCGCAAGUGGAGCCGUAGGGAAACCGAGUCUGACAAGGGCGAUGAGUAGUGCGGAUUAGACCCGAAACCGGGUGAUCUAUCCAUGAGCAGGUUGAAGCAAGG
Molecule: ribosomal RNA, 208 nt
Filed under: Desulfovibrio piger
Lineage: Bacteria; Pseudomonadati; Thermodesulfobacteriota; Desulfovibrionia; Desulfovibrionales; Desulfovibrionaceae
Description: partial 23S ribosomal RNA
Rfam family: Bacterial large subunit ribosomal RNA
Source: RNAcentral